This 2647-nucleotide ribosomal RNA is filed under the name Escherichia coli. Its description in RNAcentral is "partial 23S ribosomal RNA". It matches the Rfam family "Bacterial large subunit ribosomal RNA". Lineage: Bacteria; Pseudomonadati; Pseudomonadota; Gammaproteobacteria; Enterobacterales; Enterobacteriaceae. The record is from RNAcentral.
GUUAAGCGACUAAGCGUACACGGUGGAUGCCCUGGCAGUCAGAGGCGAUGAAGGACGUGCUAAUCUGCGAUAAGCGUCGGUAAGGUGAUAUGAACCGUUAUAACCGGCGAUUUCCGAAUGGGGAAACCCAGUGUGAUUCGUCACACUAUCAUUAACUGAAUCCAUAGGUUAAUGAGGCGAACCGGGGGAACUGAAACAUCUAAGUACCCCGAGGAAAAGAAAUCAACCGAGAUUCCCCCAGUAGCGGCGAGCGAACGGGGAGCAGCCCAGAGCCUGAAUCAGUGUGUGUGUUAGUGGAAGCGUCUGGAAAGGCGCGCGAUACAGGGUGACAGCCCCGUACACAAAAAUGCACAUGCUGUGAGCUCGAUGAGUAGGGCGGGACACGUGGUAUCCUGUCUGAAUAUGGGGGGACCAUCCUCCAAGGCUAAAUACUCCUGACUGACCGAUAGUGAACCAGUACCGUGAGGGAAAGGCGAAAAGAACCCCGGCGAGGGGAGUGAAAAAGAACCUGAAACCGUGUACGUACAAGCAGUGGGAGCACGCUUAGGCGUGUGACUGCGUACCUUUUGUAUAAUGGGUCAGCGACUUAUAUUCUGUAGCAAGGUUAACCGAAUAGGGGAGCCGAAGGGAAACCGAGUCUUAACUGGGCGUUAAGUUGCAGGGUAUAGACCCGAAACCCGGUGAUCUAGCCAUGGGCAGGUUGAAGGUUGGGUAACACUAACUGGAGGACCGAACCGACUAAUGUUGAAAAAUUAGCGGAUGACUUGUGGCUGGGGGUGAAAGGCCAAUCAAACCGGGAGAUAGCUGGUUCUCCCCGAAAGCUAUUUAGGUAGCGCCUCGUGAAUUCAUCUCCGGGGGUAGAGCACUGUUUCGGCAAGGGGGUCAUCCCGACUUACCAACCCGAUGCAAACUGCGAAUACCGGAGAAUGUUAUCACGGGAGACACACGGCGGGUGCUAACGUCCGUCGUGAAGAGGGAAACAACCCAGACCGCCAGCUAAGGUCCCAAAGUCAUGGUUAAGUGGGAAACGAUGUGGGAAGGCCCAGACAGCCAGGAUGUUGGCUUAGAAGCAGCCAUCAUUUAAAGAAAGCGUAAUAGCUCACUGGUCGAGUCGGCCUGCGCGGAAGAUGUAACGGGGCUAAACCAUGCACCGAAGCUGCGGCAGCGACACUGUGUGUUGUUGGGUAGGGGAGCGUUCUGUAAGCCUGCGAAGGUGUGCUGUGAGGCAUGCUGGAGGUAUCAGAAGUGCGAAUGCUGACAUAAGUAACGAUAAAGCGGGUGAAAAGCCCGCUCGCCGGAAGACCAAGGGUUCCUGUCCAACGUUAAUCGGGGCAGGGUGAGUCGACCCCUAAGGCGAGGCCGAAAGGCGUAGUCGAUGGGAAACAGGUUAAUAUUCCUGUACUUGGUGUUACUGCGAAGGGGGGACGGAGAAGGCUAUGUUGGCCGGGCGACGGUUGUCCCGGUUUAAGCGUGUAGGCUGGUUUUCCAGGCAAAUCCGGAAAAUCAAGGCUGAGGCGUGAUGACGAGGCACUACGGUGCUGAAGCAACAAAUGCCCUGCUUCCAGGAAAAGCCUCUAAGCAUCAGGUAACAUCAAAUCGUACCCCAAACCGACACAGGUGGUCAGGUAGAGAAUACCAAGGCGCUUGAGAGAACUCGGGUGAAGGAACUAGGCAAAAUGGUGCCGUAACUUCGGGAGAAGGCACGCUGAUACGUAGGUGAAGUCCCUCGCGGAUGGAGCUGAAAUCAGUCGAAGAUACCAGCUGGCUGCAACUGUUUAUUAAAAACACAGCACUGUGCAAACACGAAAGUGGACGUAUACGGUGUGACGCCUGCCCGGUGCCGGAAGGUUAAUUGAUGGGGUCAGCGCAAGCGAAGCUCUUGAUCGAAGCCCCGGUAAACGGCGGCCGUAACUAUAACGGUCCUAAGGUAGCGAAAUUCCUUGUCGGGUAAGUUCCGACCUGCACGAAUGGCGUAAUGAUGGCCAGGCUGUCUCCACCCGAGACUCAGUGAAAUUGAACUCGCUGUGAAGAUGCAGUGUACCCGCGGCAAGACGGAAAGACCCCGUGAACCUUUACUAUAGCUUGACACUGAACAUUGAGCCUUGAUGUGUAGGAUAGGUGGGAGGCUUUGAAGUGUGGACGCCAGUCUGCAUGGAGCCGACCUUGAAAUACCACCCUUUAAUGUUUGAUGUUCUAACGUUGACCCGUAAUCCGGGUUGCGGACAGUGUCUGGUGGGUAGUUUGACUGGGGCGGUCUCCUCCUAAAGAGUAACGGAGGAGCACGAAGGUUGGCUAAUCCUGGUCGGACAUCAGGAGGUUAGUGCAAUGGCAUAAGCCAGCUUGACUGCGAGCGUGACGGCGCGAGCAGGUGCGAAAGCAGGUCAUAGUGAUCCGGUGGUUCUGAAUGGAAGGGCCAUCGCUCAACGGAUAAAAGGUACUCCGGGGAUAACAGGCUGAUACCGCCCAAGAGUUCAUAUCGACGGCGGUGUUUGGCACCUCGAUGUCGGCUCAUCACAUCCUGGGGCUGAAGUAGGUCCCAAGGGUAUGGCUGUUCGCCAUUUAAAGUGGUACGCGAGCUGGGUUUAGAACGUCGUGAGACAGUUCGGUCCCUAUCUGCCGUGGGCGCUGGAGAACUGAGGGGGGCUGC